UGUUUUUGAAAAAUCACAACAAUGAAAUAGAUUGUCAAAAUGCCUUCGUGUUACGUUGCUUACUGUCAAAGUGAUUCUAGAUGUAAUACCAGCCUUGUUUCAUUCUUUGGAGUACCUAAGGACCAGUCUUUAUUUGAAGAAGGGAAAAGGGUAAUCCCCAUCAAAAGAAAAAGCUCUCAAUCCAAACUCCAAAGUCACUGGUCUGAGUGGCUCCUGUCAACUCCACUUCCAAGAAAAAUGUUUUAAGAAAACCAACAGGGAACACAGUCCUAGGCGUUUGAAGGCUGGUUCCAAUAUGAAUAUUGAGCCUUAUAUCUGAAUCAAAUCAUUUCUAUCAGGACACAGAAAAUCAAACAAGCUUGUCGAGGGUCUUCUCAGUACCUGGUGGAUUGAUUGUAUUAAAGCAGACAAAGACUGUGCAUGGAUCGGCUGAUACUGCCUGGGGAAUCUUGGUGAUCUGUAAAACAAGUGAAUGACCAACGAAUGAAACUCCAAGGAACUUGGAGAACCAACUUUUAGUUGCUGCAGUCAAUCAAAAAACAGAGAAUGACCUUCUUAAACAUGCCUGUUCAAAAUGUAAUAAAACGCUGAGGACAACUCUGCAGCCGCAUCUUGACAAGACCAUGCAAAGUCCAGCUAAUGUUUGAAAAACCAAUAUUUGCCAAGGGAGGUUCUACUCGCGAAAUUGACGGGACCUCCAGAAACAAAACCGGACGUUGGAAUCGGCACUGAAACGUCAAGAAGAGCCUGAAAUUGCCAUGACGGAUGUUUUAAAAGUGGAAAUGUUUCAACCGAUCGAUAACGACGAAGAAAUCACAGCUAGGAAAGGCCAGCUGGAAAUAAGAAGCGGA
Daphnia pulicaria is the source of this 851-nucleotide long non-coding RNA. RefSeq lists it as uncharacterized. Lineage: Eukaryota; Metazoa; Arthropoda; Branchiopoda; Diplostraca; Daphniidae. The transcript has 4 exons. The record is from RefSeq and is a predicted model, not a curated record.